GCGCAGCCGCAUAAGAGAGCGCGCGGGUCUCCAGAGCCUGAGCUAGUCAGAAGUAACAGUUGCUACUGCGUCCCCCGGACACUGGGAGAAUCGUUUUCCUUGGGCAGCUGGUUCCAGACCCCCACCAGUCCUCUAGACUCCAGGCCAAUCAGUUGCUAAGGGACGUUCCUCUCUCAACCUGCACUUAUCAACAUUUUAAACUAUAAAUUCGUCUGCAUUUCUUCAUCGUCUAUCUAUGUGGACCAUGACUCCACAGAGGCAGGCUCACCAUUCCCAUCGCUUAUGCUGGGCAAUCAUCAAUAUACCCGCUGUCAUGGAAUUGCAGAAUCGUUAUCCAAAUGGCUUUGACUUUUACCACUACUCCCAGCCAUGCACCAGAAUUCCGGUAGCUGUACACCUUUAUUAACACUUGGUAUUGUCAGUCUUUAACAAUUCUAGUGAGAGCGUAGUGUCAUCUCUAGUGUAUUUUGAAUUUAGGUACCAUCAAUUUCAUCAAUUGAGUAUUUCUCAUAUGCAAUUAUUUGAGGUUUGACAGAUGUAUGUAGCUAUAUACCCACAACCACAGUCAAGACACUACCAAGUGCCAUUACUUAAAACAUUCCCUCCUGAUGUUCCUUGGUAGGCAACUGUCCCUCCCUAUUUAAUUCCUGUAAAAACACUAAUCUAUUCUCUACCCUACUGAUAUGCCUUUUAAAGAAUGUCAUAUAAAUGGAAUCAUUCAAAAUGUAGCCUUUAAAAUCUGGAUUCAUUCACUUGGUUUAAUGCAUUUGGGGCUCGUCCGUGUGAUGGGGUGUUGUUUUUAAAUUGCUGACUCAUACCUCAUUGUUUUCAUAGAUCCCCAUUUUGUAUACAUUUACUGGCUGGUGAACAUUCAUAUUGUUUUUAGGUUUUGGUGACUAUAAAGUAAAACUAGUAUAAAUAUUCACAUGCAGAUUUCUGUGUGUGGACACUAGUUUUUUUAUUUCUCUUGGGUAAAUACCUAGGAGUCGGGUGCUUGGUCAUAUGUGUAAGUUCGAAUUUAUAAGAAACUGCCAAACUGUUCUCCAAAGUGGGUGUACCAUUUUACAUUCCCACCAGCAGAAUAUGUGAGUUCUGGUUGCUCUACGUUUUCAUUAACAUUUGGUAUUAUCAGGAUUUAAAAAAAAAUUUCUUUGGGUUUUGUUUUGUAGCCAUUCUAAUAGGUAUGUACUGCUACCUCGUUCUGGUUAUAAUCUGUGAUUUCGUAACAGCAAAUGGUGUUGAGAAUGCUUUCAUGUGAUUAUUUGCCAUCAGUUUUUCUUAUUUGGCGAGGAGGCUGAUCAAAUAUUUAGUGCUUUUUAAAAUUUGUGUUAAAAUAUACAUUAAAAAAUUACAAUUUUAACCAUUUUUCAGUGCACAGGUAAGUGGCACUAAGUACAUUCACACUCUUAUGCAAUUAUUAAUCAUUGAUCUCCAGAAAUUUCUUCAUCUUGCCAAAUUGAAACUCUGUACCAACUAAAUGAUAACUUCCUAUUCCAUCCUGCCCCCAGCCCAUGGCAACCAGCUUUCUACUUUCUUUGUCUAUGAAUUUGAGCACCUCUGGGAGAUUGUGGGGAAAGAACUGAGAAAAAUUCUUCUUCUCCAGAUCCAUUUCUCUGUUCCUUUUUGGGUCUCUGCAACAUGACCUCAGUUCUCUCAGGAAGCCCCAAAACCUGUGAAACUAACCUGUGCUUGCAGCUCUGCUUGCUGCCAGAAACAAAGGCUGGGAGCCAGCAACAGGAACCAGCCAGGGGAUGAGUUCAGCCCAGAAGUGCUGCCUGGACCUGGAUUCCUGCCUCAGUGCAGGCCUUGACCUGAUUUCUUGCUUCAUUACCAUACUAAAAUCUCCACUCAGAGGCGAGAACUAUGCCUUGCUAGGCACAGAAGGUGCCAAGUACAAAAGAAAACACAAGAGUGUGCACACUUCAGCCCCUCCUGGAGGAACCCACCUUUUUCCAGAUCUGCCCGCCUCAGUCUCCAACUACCUGCCCUAAGGGCCCUUAAGAUCCCCUUUUACCAACCCCUGGGAGAAGGUGCUUUGCACAUGAACUCCCUUUCUCCAUUUCUUGAUCAAUGAAUAAAGUUUCUUCUCUGCUUUGCCGA
This is a long non-coding RNA of Pan troglodytes (chimpanzee), 2100 nucleotides long. RefSeq lists it as uncharacterized. The transcript has 4 exons. The record is from RefSeq and is a predicted model, not a curated record. Lineage: Eukaryota; Metazoa; Chordata; Mammalia; Primates; Hominidae.